UGCGUUAAAAUAACGUCAAGUCGUAUAGUCCGAUAAUCCGGUUCGGACGUCUCUACGCCGCACCACGAAUGCAGGCACUACGGCAUGAACGAUCGACGGC
RNAcentral lists this non-coding RNA (100 nucleotides) under Mycoplasmatota bacterium. Its description in RNAcentral is "Tenericutes bacterium Guanine sequence". It matches the Rfam family "Purine riboswitch aptamer". From Rfam's summary of the family: Riboswitches are metabolite binding domains within certain messenger RNAs that serve as precision sensors for their corresponding targets. Allosteric rearrangement of mRNA structure is mediated by ligand binding, and this results in modulation of gene expression. Lineage: Bacteria; Bacillati; Mycoplasmatota. The record is from RNAcentral.